RNAcentral lists this ribosomal RNA (467 nucleotides) under uncultured bacterium. RNAcentral's name for it is "partial 16S ribosomal RNA". It matches the Rfam family "Bacterial small subunit ribosomal RNA", at positions 28 to 507 of the family's 1533-position model. The record is from RNAcentral.
GACGAACGCUGGCGGCGUGCUUAACACAUGCAAGUCCAACGGAAAGGCUCCAGCUUGCUGGAGUACUCGAGUGGCGAACGGGUGAGUAACACGUGGGUAAUCUGCCCUGCACUCUGGGAUAAGCCUGGGAAACUGGGUCUAAUACUGGAUAUGACCUUUCUCCUUAUGGGGUUUGGUGGAAAGUUUUUCGGUGUAGGAUGAGCCCGCGGCCUAUCAGCUUGUUGGUGGGGUGAUGGCCUACCAAGGCGACGACGGGUAGCCGGCCUGAGAGGGUGAUCGGCCACAUUGGGACUGAGAUACGGCCCAGACUCCUACGGGAGGCAGCAGUGGGGAAUAUUGCACAAUGGGCGGAAGCCUGAUGCAGCGACGCCGCGUGAGGGAUGACGGCCUUCGGGUUGUAAACCUCUUUCAGCAGGGACGAAGCGUAAGUGACGGUACCUGCAGAAGAAGCACCGGCUAACUAUGUG